UACAGAGGGGGCAAGCGUUGUUCGGAAUUACUGGGCGUAAAGGGCGCGUAGGCGGCCUGUUAAGUCGAACGUGAAAUCCCCGGGCUCAACCCGGGAACUGCGUCCGAUACUGGCAGGCUUGAAUCCGGGAGAGGGAUGCGGAAUUCCAGGUGUAGCGGUGAAAUGCGCAGAUAUCGGGAAGAACACCCGUGGCGAAGGCGGCUCUCUGGAACGCAACUGACGCUGAGACGCGAAAGCGUGGGGAGCGAACAGG
RNAcentral lists this ribosomal RNA (253 nucleotides) under uncultured bacterium. Its description in RNAcentral is "partial 16S ribosomal RNA". It matches the Rfam family "Bacterial small subunit ribosomal RNA", at positions 524 to 776 of the family's 1533-position model. The record is from RNAcentral.